This 426-nucleotide ribosomal RNA is filed under the name uncultured Ascomycota. RNAcentral describes it as "SSU rRNA". It matches the Rfam family "Eukaryotic small subunit ribosomal RNA", at positions 832 to 1254 of the family's 1831-position model. The record is from RNAcentral. Lineage: Eukaryota; Fungi; Ascomycota.
GGUUCUAUUUUGUUGGUUUCUAGGACCGCCGUAAUGAUUAAUAGGGACAGUCGGGGGNCGUCAGUAUUCAACUGUCAGAGGUGAAAUUCUUGGAUUUGUUGAAGACUAACUACUGCGAAAGCAUUUGCCAAGGAUGUUUUCAUUAAUCAGNGAACGAAAGUUAGGGGAUCGAAGACGAUCAGAUACCGUCGUAGUCUUAACCAUAAACUAUGCCGACUAGGGAUCGGGCGAUGUUACUUUUUNGACNUCGUUCGGCACCUUACGAGAAAUCAAAGUCUUUGGGUUCCGGGGGGAGUAUGGUCGCAAGGCUGAAACUUAAAGAAAUUGACGGAAGGGCACCACCAGGAGUGGAGCCUGCGGCUUAAUUUGACUCAACACGGGGAAACUCACCAGGUCCAGACACAAUAAGGAUUGACAGAUUGAGAG